RNAcentral lists this ribosomal RNA (301 nucleotides) under uncultured bacterium. Its description in RNAcentral is "partial 16S ribosomal RNA". It matches the Rfam family "Bacterial small subunit ribosomal RNA", at positions 512 to 810 of the family's 1533-position model. The record is from RNAcentral.
UCGCCACGGUAAUACGAAGGGUGCAAGCGUUAAUCGGAAUUACUGGGCGUAAAGCGUGCGUAGGUGGUGGUUUAAGUCCGUUGUGAAAGCCCUGGGCUCAACCUGGGAAUUGCAGUGGAUACUGGGUCACUAGAGUGUGGUAGAGGAUAGUGGAAUUUCCGGUGUAGUAGUGAAAUGCGUAGAGAUCGGAAGGAACAUCUGUGGCGAAGGCGACUAUCUGGGCCAACACUGACACUGAGGCACGAAAGCGUGGGGAGCAAACAGGAUUAGAUACCCCAGUAGUCCCUGUCUCUUAUACACA